UCCCAUGUAGCUCACUUGGUAGAGCAUGGCUCUUGCAACGCCAGGGUUGUGGGUUUGAUUCCCACAUUGGAC
This is a non-coding RNA of Salmo salar (Atlantic salmon), 72 nucleotides long. Lineage: Eukaryota; Metazoa; Chordata; Actinopteri; Salmoniformes; Salmonidae. The record is from Rfam.